Non-coding RNA from Pelobates cultripes (western spadefoot toad), 417 nucleotides. Lineage: Eukaryota; Metazoa; Chordata; Amphibia; Anura; Pelobatidae. The record is from the annotation of a GenBank genome assembly.
GUGUAAACUAUUUUUUUGAAACUGAAGAACAUCAUGGAAAACAUUAGAAAUAAACCACCAAAAGACAACCUUUGCUUUAUUCAAUAUAAUCACACCCCCCUGUUCUAAUCGCCAUCAGAAACCCCUUGAGGAACGAUGACGGUCCUGAACCAUCAUAACGUAAAACGAGCAGCAGGAGCUGCCGCUGAAACACAGCUGUUACUAUCUCCCUCGCAUGCCUGGCAGAUAGUAACAGCGAAUUACAGGUGAUACUCAAAAAAUUAGAAUAGCGUGCAAAAGUUAAUUUAUUUCAGUAAUGCAACGUAAAAGGGGAAACUAAUAUAUGAGACAGAAGCAUUACAGGCAAAGCAAGAUCGUUCAAGCCGUGAUUUGUCAUAAGUGCUACAGCCCCUGAAAACCCCAAAUCCACAAUCUCAG